GUGGGGAAUAUUGCACAAUGGGCGAAAGCCUGAUGCAGCAACGCCGCGUGAGUGAUGAAGGUCUUCGGAUUGUAAAACUCUGUCUUCUGGGACGAUAAUGACGGUACCAGAGGAGGAAGCCACGGCUACCUACGUGCCAGCAGCCGCGGUAAUACGUAGGGGGCGAGCGUUUUCCGGAUUUACUGGGCGUAAAGGGUGCGUAGGCGGAUGUUUAAGUGAGAUGUGAAAUACCCGGGCUUAACCUGGGUGCUGCAUUUCAAACUGGAUAUCUGGAGUGCAGGAGAGGAGAACGGAAUUCCUAGUGUAGCGGUGAAAUGCGUAGAGAUUAGGAAGAACACCAGUGGCGAAGGCGGUUCUCUGGACUGUAACUGACGCUGAGGCACGAAAGCGUGGGUAGCAAACAGGAUUAGAAACCCUGGUAGUCC
This 425-nucleotide ribosomal RNA is filed under the name uncultured bacterium. RNAcentral's name for it is "partial 16S ribosomal RNA". It matches the Rfam family "Bacterial small subunit ribosomal RNA", at positions 354 to 796 of the family's 1533-position model. The record is from RNAcentral.